AUUGGAUCCCUGAUACCCCUGAUAGCAUUCCUGCAAACGCGUCACACCGUGUCGGCGUUGGUGCUUUUGUUGUCAAUAACAAGAGAGAGGUGCUUGUGGUUCAGGAAACCAGUGGUAGAUUUGGAGGCACAGGUGUAUGGAAGAUGCCUACAGGAGCUGUGAAUGAAGUAUACGUCGAAAUGAUUAUUGAUCAAAUUAUGAAAAUGGAAAUUCAAUCUUUUGAGUUUUGACAUGUUUUAAUUCUAUUUGCAGGGUGAAGAUAUUUGUGAUGCUGUAAUUAGAGAAGUGAAGGAAGAGACAGGGGUUGAAACAAAGGCACAUAUGGUACUUGUUGCAUUCUCAAGUUCGUUAAACAGUCAGGACAGCUGCUCCUUUGCAGGAACUGGCAUCCAAACAUGUGAUGGCAGCAAUGGUGGAGAUAAUUUGUCAGCAUCAAGCCUCUGAAGCAUCUGACAUACCUUAUAAUCCCAAAGCUGUUAGAAAACACUGAUGACUAAUACUAGGUCACAAGGCAUGGAAAAUGGUGCUGCUGUCACUUCCAACUUGACAGG
Lathyrus oleraceus (garden pea) is the source of this 551-nucleotide long non-coding RNA. RefSeq lists it as uncharacterized. The transcript has 3 exons. Lineage: Eukaryota; Viridiplantae; Streptophyta; Magnoliopsida; Fabales; Fabaceae. The record is from RefSeq and is a predicted model, not a curated record.